UAAGGAAUAUUGCGCAAUGGGCGAMAGCCUGACGCAGCGACGCCGCGUGGGGGAUGAAGGUCUUCGGAUUGUAAACCCCUUUCGGGAGGGAAGAUGGRGCRRGCAAUCGYUCGGACGGUACCUCCAGAAGCAGCCACGGCCAACUUCGUGCCAGCAGCCGCGGUAAUACGAAGGUGGCAAGCGUUGUUCGGAUUCACUGGGCGUACAGGGUGUGUAGGCGGUUUGGUAAGCCUUCUGUUAAAUCUUCGGGCCCAACCCGGAAAGCGCAGAGGGKACUGCCAGGCUAGAGGGCGGGAGAGGAGCGCGGAAUUCCCGGUGUAGCGGUGAAAUGCGUAGAGAUCGGGAGGAAGGCCGGUGGCGAAGGCGGCGCUCUGGAACGUACCUGACGCUGAGACACGAAAGCGUGGGGAGCAAACAGGAUUAGAUACCCUGGUAGUCCACGCCCUAAACUAUGGAUACUAAGUGUCGGCGGGUUACCGCCGGUGCCGCAGCUAACGCAUUAA
This 503-nucleotide ribosomal RNA is filed under the name uncultured bacterium. Its description in RNAcentral is "bacterial SSU rRNA". It matches the Rfam family "Bacterial small subunit ribosomal RNA", at positions 355 to 863 of the family's 1533-position model. The record is from RNAcentral.